This 226-nucleotide ribosomal RNA is filed under the name uncultured bacterium. Its description in RNAcentral is "partial 16S ribosomal RNA". It matches the Rfam family "Bacterial small subunit ribosomal RNA", at positions 524 to 749 of the family's 1533-position model. The record is from RNAcentral.
UACGGAGGGUGCAAGCGUUGUUCGGAAUUAUUGGGCGUAAAGCGCGUGUAGGCGGCCGUGCAAGUCGGGUGUGAAAGCCCUCGGCUCAACCGAGGAAGUGCGCCCGAAACUGCAUGGCUUGAGUACCGGAGAGGGUGGCGGAAUUCCCCAAGUAGAGGUGAAAUUCGUAGAUAUGGGGAGGAACACCGGUGGCGAAGGCGGCCACCUGGACGGAUACUGACGCUGG